UGCAACCGCAAGCGACCUGCUGCCGUCCACGCCACGACGGCUCAACAUCAACAAUCGCCGACGCGCUGCAAGAGGAGCCGCGCCUUCAUCGGAAGCACCGACGACUACGUGGAGGUGAACUCCCUAGGCCAAGGCGGCUUCGGCGUCGUCCUCAGGUUGCGCCACAAAGUCACCAAGAAGGACCUAGCCGUCAAGUUCCUCUCCUCGCCGGACGAAACCGAGGAGGGCCCCGACGUCGAAGAUCUUUAUCGGGAGGCACGGUUCCUCGAGGCCUGCAAAGGAAAUCCUUACGUAGUCGGCUUCGAGGGCCUGGUGCACAACCUGGACACAGGCGACGUCGGCCUCGCCAUGGAGUACCCACCGUACAACCAGGCCGGCACGGCGCCCUACAUGGCGCCCGAGAUGAUCAUGGGCAAGCGGGACUACGACGCGCUCGUGGACACGUGGUCCAUCGGCUGCGUCUUUGCCGAACUGCUCACCGGCAAGACCUUGUUCGCGUGCGACGGGCAAGAUGACGACGACGACGACAAGAUAAAGGUUGACAUAUACCAGCUGUGGAGCAUCUUCCGAGUGCUCGGGGUGCCGGACGAGAGGACGUGGCCAGGCUUCACGUCGCUGCCGCACACCACCGAGGCGCUGCGACUGCUACCGGCGGGGCACAACCAUAGCCGGCUGCGGGAUUUGUUCCCUGAAGAGAAGCUGUCCGAGGAAGGAUUCCAGGUGUUGCAAGGGCUCCUCACGUGCAACCCCGACAAGCGACUGACGGCAGCCGCCGCGCUGAAGCACCCAUGGUUUGCAGCUCCUCGUUCCACCGCCGCCGCCGCCGGUGCGAAGGUCGACGCUCUGUCGCCGGCGAUGCCAGAGAAGGAUGUACUCAAAAUUCCACUG
RNAcentral lists this ribosomal RNA (888 nucleotides) under Triticum aestivum (bread wheat). Its description in RNAcentral is "partial small subunit ribosomal RNA". Lineage: Eukaryota; Viridiplantae; Streptophyta; Magnoliopsida; Poales; Poaceae. The record is from RNAcentral.